This 87-nucleotide transfer RNA is filed under the name Roseospirillum parvum. It matches the Rfam family "tRNA". From Rfam's summary of the family: Transfer RNA (tRNA) molecules are approximately 80 nucleotides in length. Their secondary structure includes four short double-helical elements and three loops (D, anti-codon, and T loops). The record is from Rfam by way of RNAcentral. Lineage: Bacteria; Pseudomonadati; Pseudomonadota; Alphaproteobacteria; Rhodospirillales; Rhodospirillaceae.
GGAGGAGUGGCCGAGCGGUUUAAGGCACUGGUCUUGAAAACCAGCAACCCCUCACCGGGUUCGUGGGUUCGAAUCCCACCUCCUCCG